This is a long non-coding RNA of Oncorhynchus nerka (sockeye salmon), 4907 nucleotides long. RefSeq lists it as uncharacterized. Lineage: Eukaryota; Metazoa; Chordata; Actinopteri; Salmoniformes; Salmonidae. The transcript has 2 exons. The record is from RefSeq and is a predicted model, not a curated record.
UGUCCUGCCAACAGACAACAAGUUAGACCGGAACUCACAAAGCACCACACAGACUGUGACCAGAUGGAAAAAGGAGAUUGGUGAGGAGGAACAAGGAAACGUUUCCCUGCUGUGAAGGAGUACAGCUACUGUCUCUCUCUCUCUCUCUCUCUCCAGUGCCACGCCCCGUCCCUACGGGUGUCUGACGACAGCAGUACUAGCAAGAAGCAGUAUGAAUAAUAGAUGCACUUCUCCAUUUCCCCAACGGCUCCCGAGUGGCGCAGCGGUCUAAGGCACCGCAUCUCAGUGUUAGAGGCGUCACUACAGACCUUGGUUUGAUUCCAAGCUGUAUCACAACCGGCCGUGAUUGGGAGUCCCAUAGGCCGGCGCACAAUUGUCCCAGCGUCAUCAGGUUAGGGUUUGGCCGGGGUAGGCCAUCAUUGUAAAUAAGACUUUGUUCUUAACUGACUUGGCUAGUUAAAUAAAGAUGAAAUAUAUAUAUUUUUUUAUUCACCCACAGAGAUGUGCCUCUCAGCUGGUGACUCUCUUGAUUAGUCUCAACCAAAUAAAUCAAAGGACAGCAGGUCAAAUGUAAUAUCACUAGCUCAAAAAAACGAAUGAAAUCAUUGAUCACUGAGGAGAAAAGUUCAUUGAUACAGCUUCAAAUCAAAACUGAGUUUUAGGGAGUAAAAACGUGAGUUUUACAGAGUGGCUGCGUUGCCGAAAACAUUGAAUGACUUUUCCAGAUAGUCUAGAAAACCGAACCUUCUGCACAUGUGCGUAAUUAUUUAAUUUACAAAUGUUUCCUACUUUUUAUUUGAUAAACCACACUGCACCAUAGAACUGUAUUUUGAGAACCAUAUCAGCUUGAGAUCUAGCAAGGAAGGUUUGGUACAAAUAUGUUCAGACAAAGUUCUUAUUAUGUCCUCUCUGGUGUAUACAGUAGCAACACCACUAGGACCUCCUGGUAUGCCUCGCUGUAACGGCAUUCUUCCUCCUCUUCUGAGGAGGAGGAGUAGCGAGAAGGAUCGGAGGACCAAAGCGCAGCGUGUGCAGCUGAGAAGUCUUUAACCCUAAUUGCCUCAUGGAUGUCCCGUCAAAUCCAGCAUUAAUCCAUGACUACGAAAGCCUUUAAAGUCAUCAAGGUCUGGGUAGCAAGUACACAAAACCAUAGGUGAUACAGUAUGGCUCUGGAGAGGAUGAAGAAUGGCCCACACAACCACCCACAAAUAUCACUUACAGUCUUAGAAGAGUAAAAAGAAAUCUUGAACAAUAGGCAUAAAAAGCCUUAUUAUUUUCGAAUCUAAUCUAAUUGGUCGCGAACACCGAUUAUUAGCUCCAACAGUGCAGUAGAAUGUCUAGCAAAUACGGUACAGAUAAUCUAUAAAUCUAAACAAGAAAUCAAGAAAUGUCAGAACGAGUCCAAUUAACAAUCCAAUAUAGAUAUAUUAGAGUGAGCAGUGUCAGAAUGCAGAAUAUAAAUAUGCGGUGUUUUUAAACAGUAUAUAAAUUCGGAAGAUAAAAUGGUAUGUACAAUAGUAGGUAUAUUAGAAUGGGCUAUGCCUAAUUAAAUCAAUAAAAAUAUUUUUUAAAGUUUUUUUUUUAUGUUGUGAAUACAGUAAGUAAACAAUAGUAUAUGAAGUGACCUAUGUUCAAAGUCUCUAUAUACAUGGGACAUUUUAUAGACUCUUUCCUCAUACAGGAUGGAUUAUAGUAUCAUAAAAGAUGUUAUUGUAGAAUCCCUUUUGAGGAAAAAAGAUACAGGUAUAUAUGAUUUUCCCAGAGUCUCUUCAUGUUGUCACUGAAACUUCAACACCACACUACAUUCAUGCAGAGAUGAGUGAUCUGAGUGCAUUCACAAAUGACUGAAUCCUCCCUUUCGAGGCCCCUUUCACGGACUGCCUCAAAAAGAGGAUGACGUAACUAUUUGGAUGAACAGCUGAAUGACUUCAAGUUGUAACUCAGUAACUAUUUUGUUAUAAACUAUAUUGGUGGAGUGAAGUAUUUAUCCACAAAAUACUUGUGAAACAUACUGGUUAGUUCUCUGAUCUUUAUGAAUAGUAUAAAUGUACUAAGAUACCAUGUUAGCUACCAUUAUCUGUAAUUCAGAGGAGGUCUGGACUACAAAUAAGGAACUGGGGCUUGUAAAAAAAUAUAUGCUUUCAUUUCCUGGCCGAUUCUGCAAAUUUAGUGUAAAUAAAAACAUAAUUUUUCAAAAAUAAUCUCUUUGUUUAAAAACAGACAGACUUUGAGUAGCUGCAUUUGGACUUCCCUCUCAGAAUGUGCAGCAACUCAAACAGAAUAAAAAACAAUUGUGUUAGGUGAAGAAACAGCACUUUUAAAAACAAGCCAACCAAAGGAAUUCUAAGCGCCAGUAACACAACAGAGCUGUGAGAUAGAGUAAGGUUUCCUGGACACACAUUUUAAGCCUUGACCAAAAAAGCAUUUUCGUGUUUGCUUUUAAAUCCAGGUCUAGGCUUAAUCUGUGUCCAGGAAACUUCCCCAAAAGUUGUUGUUUCAUGAUACCUUGUUGCAUACCGCCCCUUAAAUGGGAGUCUGAUGACUAUAUAUUUUUCUCACAAAAGAAACGCAUCUGGUUAAAACAACUAAGUAGACUCACCUCCUAAACAUGACUAAAAUCAGGUUUAGUCUUAAUCUAGGGGGAAACCUGUUAUUCAAUUGAUAAAACCAAGGUAGCAAGAUGGCACAGUAUUAUUAUCCCUCAACCAAUUGUGCUAUUGUGUCUUUUUUCGCGUUAUUAUUAUUUAUUUUAUUUAUUUCACCUUUAUUUAACCAGGUAGGCCAGUUGAGAACAAGUUCUCAUUUACAACUGUGACCUGGCCAAGAUUAAGCAAAGCAGUGCGACAAAAACAACAUAGUUACACAUCAACAAACGUACAGUCAAUAACACAAUAGAAACAUUAAUGUACAGUGUGUGCAAAUGUAGGAGAGUAGGGAGGUAAGGCAAUAAAUAAAUAAUUACAAUUGAGUUUUAACACUGGAGUGAUUAAUGUGCAGAUGAUGAUGUGCAAGUAGAGAUACUGGGGUGCAAGAGGGUAAGUAAUAAUAUGGGGAUGAGGUAGUUGGGUGUGCUAUUUACUGAUUGGCUGUGUACAGGUACAAUGAUCGGAAAGCUGCUCUGACAGCUGAUGCUUAAAGUUAGAGAGGGAGAUAUAAGACUCCAGCUUCAGUGAUUUUUGCAAUUUGUUCCAGUCAUUGGCAGCAGAGAACUGGAAGGAAAGUCGGCCAAAGGAAGUGUUGGCUUUGGGGAUGACCAGUGAAAUAUACCUGCUGGAGCGCGUGCUACAGGUGGGUGUUGCUAUGGUGACCAGUGAGCUGAGAUAAGGCGGGCCUGAGGUAGAGUAUCUCAAGAUAAGCUGUAGACCACACUAUUUUACCAAGAGUUUUCAUCAAUAUUCUUUGUAGCUGUCUAUUUACCACCACAAACCGAUGCUGGCACGAAGACCGCACUCAAUGAGCUGUAUACGGCAAUAAGCAAACAGGAAGAAGCUCAUUCAGAGGCGGCGCUCCUAGUGGCCGGGGAAUUUAAUGCAGGGAAACUUAAAUCUGUUUGACCUCAUUUCUACCAGCAUGUUAAAUGUGCAACCAGAGGGAAAAAAAACUCUCAGACCCAGACCACUUUUACUCCACACACAGAGACUCGUACAAAGCUCUCCCUCGCCCUCCAUUUAGCAAAUAUGACCAUAAUUGUAUCCUCCUGAUUCCUGCUUACAAGCAAAAAUUAAAGCAGGAAGCACCAGUGACUCGGUCAAUAAAAAAGUGGUCAGAUUAAGCAGAUGCUAAGCUACAGGUAUUCUUCAAAUGGCAUUGAGGAGUACACCACAUCAGUCACUGGCUUCAUCAAUAAGUGCAUAAAUGAUGUUGUCCCCACACUGAAAGAAGCGAGACUAACUCAGAAGCAUAUAAUAAAUCCUGCUAUGCCCUCUGACGAACCAUCAAACAGGCAAAGCGUCAAUACAGGACAGAUUGAAUCGUACUACACCGGCUCUGACGCUCGUCGGAUGUGGCAGGGCUUGCAAACUAUUACAGACUACAAAGGGAAGCACAGCUGCGAGCUGCCCAGUGACACCAGCCUACCAGAUUAACUAAAUUACUUCUAUGCUCGCUUCGAGGCAAGUAACACUGAAGCAUGCAUGAGAGCAUCAGCUGUUCUGGGCAACUGUGUGAUAAUGCUCUCCGUAGCCGAUGUGAGUAAGACCUUUAGACAGGUCAACAUUCACAAGGCCGCAGGGUCAGAUGGAUUACCAGGACUUGUACUCCGAGCAUGCGCUGACCAACUAGCAAAUGUCUUCACUGACAUUUUCAACCUGUCCCUGACUGAGUCUGUAAUACCAACAUGUUUCAAGCAGACCACCAUAGUCCCUGUGCUCAAGAACACUAAGGUAACCUGCCUAAAUGACUACCGACCCAUAGCACUCAUGUCUUUAGCCCCCAGGUGGUAAGGGUAGGCACAUCUGCCACGCUGAUCCUCAACACGGGGGCCCCUCAUGGGUGCGUACUCAGUCCCCUCCUGUACUCCCUGUUCAUUCAUGACUGCAUGGUUAGGCACGACUCCAACACCAUCAUUAAGUUUGCAGAUGACUCAACAGUGGUAGGCCUGAUCACCGACAACGAUGAGACAGCCUAUAGGGAGGAGGUCAGAGACCUGGCCGUGUGGUGCCAGGAUAACAACCUAUCCCUCAACGUGGUCAAGACAAAGGAGAUGAUAGUGGACUACUGGAAAGGGAGAACCGAGCACGCCGCCAUUCUCAUCGACGGGGCUGUAGUGGAGCAGGUUGAGAGUUUCCAAGUUCCUUGUAGUCCACAUCACCAACAAACUAUCAUGGUCCAAACACACUAAGACAGUCGUGAAGAGGGCACGACAAAGUCUAUUCCCCCUCAGGAGACUGAAAAGACUUGGCAUGGGU